This 253-nucleotide ribosomal RNA is filed under the name uncultured bacterium. RNAcentral describes it as "partial 16S ribosomal RNA". It matches the Rfam family "Bacterial small subunit ribosomal RNA", at positions 524 to 776 of the family's 1533-position model. The record is from RNAcentral.
UACGGAGGGGACUAGCGUUGUUCGGAAUUACUGGGCGUAAAGCGCACGUAGGCGGCUUUUUAAGUCAGGGGUGAAAUCCUGGAGCUCAACUCCAGAACUGCCUUUGAUACUGGAAAGCUUGAGUCCGGGAGAGGUGAGUGGAACUCCGAGUGUAGAGGUGAAAUUCGUAGAUAUUCGGAAGAACACCAGUGGCGAAGGCGGCUCACUGGCCCGGUACUGACGCUGAGGUGCGAAAGCGUGGGGAGCAAACAGG